Molecule: long non-coding RNA, 1375 nt
Organism: Brachypodium distachyon (stiff brome)
Lineage: Eukaryota; Viridiplantae; Streptophyta; Magnoliopsida; Poales; Poaceae
Exons: 2
Source: RefSeq, a predicted model, not a curated record
GGCUUGAACUUUGUCAUCUUGCCGAUGAAUUCACUCGACGGAAGACGUCUUUGGUGCUGCGAACUGGGCUGCUGCCAUUGAGCGAUACUCCGUACUUCUGCCGAAGCCGAACAUAUAUACUGAAAAUUUUGGGUUGUUGACUUUGCACUGUUUUUUGGAAGACUCCAGUCUGCUUAAUUUGAAUGCAAAUACUCCGUACCAUACGCUCGGACCUAAAGCUUGAAAGUCCAAAGUCACGGGUAAUUUAACUUGACUCCAAUGGGCUUUCAUUUGCUUGGGAAAUUUGCGCCUGCAUUGGCACCACCCUUAAACUUUGGAAAGCACAUUUUUAGGUAUUCUUCAUCUUUAUACCGUCUCAUGUUGUGGGGAGAAAACGACGAGCAGUGAUUCAGGCAGCCCCUUUGUCAAGUUAGAGCCUCUUUGGGAGGGCUUCACUUACGCAACUUCACUAGUGAAGCAGGUCAAGUUGUCUCAAACACCUCAAACUCCAUAUGUUAGGUGAAAUUUUGCUGGAGUCAAGAAAGUGGUGCUUCACCUGCUCCACUUCAUCUAAAGUUGAGGUAAUUUACCCGCCAAUGCCACUGAUGACCCCGCAACGUUAUCUUCCCGAACAGAACCUCCCUGUCUCCUCUUCCUCUCGCACCAGCGUGCGAUUCCUCGUGGCGGCGCACCCGGCCGUAGGAGAGGCCGCGCCCCUCUCCGGUGAGCCCUCGCUCUAUAUCCGGUGAGGCCCGCUCCCCACCUCCACAACCCCCAAGGAGCCGCAGCCCCUGCACCAGUAGGAUCAAGGCGCCGGCGCCGGCCCCUGUACCAGCAAGACCAAUACGUCGCCGCCGCCCCUGCUGCACCAGAUGUUGUCGGGGUCCCGGCCCCUCCAGCAGAACUCGAGGAGAGAUUACCCUGCCGCCACCGCGUCCAGGAACUCGCUGAUGCUGCCGCUCUUUGUUCAGCAGGACGUUGCCGCCUCACAACAACAAAGCUUGACUGAUUCCCGUGUGAUAUGUGAAGCAUGAAGAAGAAGAAAAAAGAAUAGAUUUGUUCCCGUACGGUCAAGGCCAUCAUGAAUCUGGAGCUAGCUAGGUAGCCAAACGCAUUUAGUUGGUGAAGUUGAGUGCAGGUGAAGUGGAGUUUAGAGACGAAGUGAAGUUUAGGUGGUGGAACCCUUCCAAACACACCCUUACAAUGGCAACGGAGGUGUUGCGUUGCUCGAAGAUUAUAAAUCUUCUGAUCUUCAGAUUUUGGCUGAGGGAAUGCUCUGCUUCCCUCCUUGAAGCCUGUCUAAGUAGUCUUACACCCCGUUUGGAUGUUGGUAUUGGAGCAAGGAAUUGGGAAAAAAAAUUAUCAAAGGGGUGGCCCCUGGUUUCAUUGAAGGAAA